CCACCCACCAUGACAGCUAAUCUUCUCAUUUUGGCAAAUUUCUUGUAUAGCGGCACUAAAAUUUCAUGCUGUUAAUCAUGAUGUUCCUGCUGCUGAUCAUUCAGAGAGUGAAAGAAAGAUGCAGCAACAAUACAGGAGCAAGAAUCCAGUGUGUAUGAAGUCAUGAGUGACCUCUGUCCUGCGGCAGUCUGAGUCUUCAUCUGAAAGUCCCAAUGA
This is a long non-coding RNA of Archocentrus centrarchus (flier cichlid), 216 nucleotides long. RefSeq lists it as uncharacterized. The record is from RefSeq and is a predicted model, not a curated record. The transcript has 3 exons. NCBI's taxonomy places the organism in Eukaryota, Metazoa, Chordata, Actinopteri, Cichliformes, Cichlidae.